CGUAGCGGGGGAUAACUAUCGGAAACGAUAGCUAAUACCGCAUAACAACGGAUGACACAUGUCAUUUAUUUGAAAGGGGCAAUUGCUCCACUACAAGAUGGACCUGCGUUGUAUUAGCUAGUAGGUGAGGGUAACGGCUCACCUAGGCGACGAUACAUAGCCGAACCUGAGAGGGUGAUCGGCCACACUGGGACUGAGACACGGCCCCAGACUCCUACGGGAGGCAGCAGUAGGGAAUCUUCGGCAAUGGGGGCAACCCUGACCGAGCAACGCCGCGUGAGUGAAGAAGGGUUUUCGGAUCGUAAAGCUCUGUUGUAAGUCAAGAACGAGUGUGAGAGUGGAAAAGUUCACACUGUGACGGUAGCUUACCAGAAAGGGACGGCUAACUACGUGCCAGCAGCCGCGGUAAUACGUAGGUCCCGAGCGUUGUCCGGAUUUAUUGGGCGUAAAGCGAGCGCAGGCGGUUUGAUAAGUUCUGAAGUUAAAGGCUGUGGCUCAACCAUAGUUCGCUUUGGAAACUGUCAAACUUGAGUGCAGAAGGGGAGAGUGGAAUUCCAUGUGUAGCGGUGAAAUGCGUAGAUAUAUGGAGGAACACCGGUGGCGAAAGCGGCUCUCUGGUCUGUAACUGACGCUGAGGCUCGAAAGCGUGGGGAGCGAACAGA
Molecule: ribosomal RNA, 662 nt
Filed under: uncultured bacterium
Lineage: Bacteria
Description: bacterial SSU rRNA
Rfam family: Bacterial small subunit ribosomal RNA
Source: RNAcentral